RNAcentral lists this transfer RNA (72 nucleotides) under Pajaroellobacter abortibovis. It matches the Rfam family "tRNA". From Rfam's summary of the family: Transfer RNA (tRNA) molecules are approximately 80 nucleotides in length. Their secondary structure includes four short double-helical elements and three loops (D, anti-codon, and T loops). Lineage: Bacteria; Pseudomonadati; Myxococcota; Polyangiales; Polyangiaceae. The record is from Rfam by way of RNAcentral.
GCCGCCUUAGCUCAGAGGUAGAGCAGCGGUUUCGUAAACCGCGGGUCUGGGGUUCAAUUCCCCAAGGCGGCU